RNAcentral lists this long non-coding RNA (1662 nucleotides) under Phasianus colchicus (ring-necked pheasant). RNAcentral's name for it is "lncRNA (ENSPCLG00000018911.1)". The record is from RNAcentral. Lineage: Eukaryota; Metazoa; Chordata; Aves; Galliformes; Phasianidae.
UUUCAUUUCCACCUUCUCUUCCGCUUCUCCUCCACUUUCGCUGCCGCUUUCACUCCACUUCCACUUCCCCUUUCCCUUCCACUUCCAUCUUCACUUCCACUUCCCCUUUCUCUUUCCCUUCCACUUCCACCUUCGCUUCCACCCCCAACUUUGCGACAGCUUUCACUUCCACUUUCACUUCUAUUUCCACUUUCACUUCCGCCUCUUCUUCACUUCCACUUCUACUUCCGCUUCCAUCUUCACUUCCACCUUUUGUUCACUUUCAAUUUCACUUCCACUUCCCCCUUUCCUUCCCCUUUCACUUCCACUUCCAUCUUCCCUUCCCUUUCCACUUCCCCCUUCCAAUUCCACCUUCGCUUCCACUUUCCCUUCCGCUUCCUCUUCCCCUUCAACUUCCCCUUUUACUUCCACUUCCACCUUCAGCUUUCACAUCCCUUUCAUUUUCCCUUCCACUUCCACGUCCCCUUCCCCUUUCACUUCCACCUUCCUCCCGCUUCCCCUUCCACUUCCACCUCCACUUCCACCUUCAUUUCAGCUUCCACUUCACUUUCGCUUUCACUUCCACUUUCCCUCCCACUUUUCCUUUUCCUUCCACUCCCACCUUCACUUCCACUUCCCCUUUUACUUCCGCUUCCACUUCCCCUUCAACUUCCACCUUCCCAUCCACUUCCACUUUCCCUUUUACUUCCACUUCCAAUUCCACCUUCGCUUCCAUCUCCACCUUUAUUUCAACUUCCCCUUCACUUCCGCUUUCACUUCCAACUUUCCUUCUCCUUUCACUUUCUCUUCCCUCCCACUUCCACUUUCCCACCCACCUUCCCUUCCACUUCCACUUUCCUUUCCACCUUUACUUCAGCUUUCACUUCCCCCUUCCCUUCCCCUUCAACCUUCUCACCCACUUCCCCUCCCACUUCGACUUCCCCUCCCACUUCGACUUCCCCUCCCACUUCCUCUUUCACUUCCACCUUCAGCUUUCACUUCACUUGCGCUUAGCUUUCACUUCCCCCUUCCCUCCCCCUUCCUUUCCACCUUCUCUCCCACUUCCACUUCCCCAUUUACUUCCCCUUCCACUUCCACCUUCAGCUUCCCCUUCGCUUCUACUUUCGCUUUCACUUCCCCCUUCCCUUUCACUUCCCCCUUCCCUUUCACUUCCCCCUUCCCUCCCACUUCCACUUUUCCAUUUACUUCCACUUCCUCUUCCACCUUCAUCUUUCCAUUCACUUUCGCUUUCACUUUCACUUCCCCCUUCCCUUCCCUUUCAUUCCCCUUUCCCUCCCACUUCCCCUUCCACCUUCCCUCCCACUUCCACUUCCCCAUUUACUUCCACUUCCACUUCCCCUUCCACUUCCACCUUUAGCUUUCCAUUCGUUUUCAAUUUCGCUUUCACUUCCCCCUUCCCUCCCCUUUUCAUUCCCCCUUCCCUCCCCCUUCCCCUUCCCCUCCCACUUCCGCUUCCCCUUCCUCUUCCCCCUUCUCCAUUUCCUUCCCCUUACUCACAAUAAUGCCCCGGAUGCAGAGGGGGAUGAUGUUGCAGGUGACCGUUCUGAUGAUGAGGGAUGGCGGAAGGAUACGCAGCACCUCGACUUCCGCUCCAACCUCCGUUUCCUCCGCUAUCUACAGACAGGAAAUAAACAAGGAAACUUCCGCCCUAACCGGAAAUAC